GUGGGUGUAGGGGUGCCUGAGGAGAAAGGGGUGCUGGUUCUUCCUUAUAUCCCCUGCCUGCCUCAGCUGGGCUCUGACCCAGCCAGCAGACUGGAGUCCUCUUCUGCAUGAUUCUACAAAGAUCCUAUAUUUGAUGUCAACAUCUUAACAAGCAUGGCUAAUGACGAUGUCUGGUGUAUUUAUUUAAAAGGUAAGGAAACUGAGGCUUAGAGGAGUUAUGAAACUGCCCAAGGUUUCACAGCUGAAAUGUAUAAGGACCUGGACUUGCAAAUUUGGCACAAAGUUCUUCUAAUAAGAGGCCAUAAAAUAACCAAAUGAUUUUUUAUGUGCCUGUAGAACCAAAAGAACUAUUUCAGAAUGUCAGCUGAAAAGCACGAUAUUCCAGAUAGGGCAUUCACUAGCAUAUGCCUAAAGGUACUCACAUAGGAGGAACACAAUAUGACCCCACAGAAGAAUAAUGAGCAACUAAACAUUGACAGUAACAAUGAGACUGUGGCCAAUGAGAUCACACCAUGCAAUGAGAUAGCUUAGAAACCUUGGCAUAGUGCCUUCCUGGAAAUCCCGGAUUGCAUCUAAAACCAUGUGGCAGAGGGAGAAACAACAGACAGGCCAUCCUGAGAAGACUCAGGCUGGGACGAAAGCUCUGCUCUCCAGGGACAAAGCAGCAGGGGACCAGCCAUGCUCAGAAAUACUCCACUGGCCAGUGCACAUUUUUUUGAGCAAUUUCACUUGCUUCCACACCACCUGCCCCCCUAACGCUUCUAUUAAAGUGGCAAAUAAAUCUGAUACCCA
This 792-nucleotide long non-coding RNA is filed under the name Pan troglodytes (chimpanzee). Its description in RNAcentral is "long non-coding RNA NONPTRT014723". The record is from RNAcentral. Lineage: Eukaryota; Metazoa; Chordata; Mammalia; Primates; Hominidae.